This 553-nucleotide ribosomal RNA is filed under the name uncultured bacterium. RNAcentral's name for it is "bacterial SSU rRNA". It matches the Rfam family "Bacterial small subunit ribosomal RNA", at positions 40 to 589 of the family's 1533-position model. The record is from RNAcentral.
CGGCGGCCUACACAUGCAAGUCGAGGGGCAUCGCGGUGUAGCAUACACUGGCGGCGACCGGCGUACGGGUGCGUAACGCGUAUGCAACCUGCCCCGCACCGGGGGAUAGCCCGCCGAAAGGCGGAUUAAUACCCCAUGGUCCCCCGUGCCCGCAUGGGCGUGGGGGUAAAGCCCUGGCGGUGCGGGAUGGGCAUGCGUGCCAUUAGCUGGCUGGUGCGGUAACGGCGCACCAGGGCGACGAUGGCUAGGGGGUCUGAGAGGAUGGUCCCCCACACUGGUACUGAGACACGGACCAGACUCCUACGGGAGGCAGCAGUGAGGAAUAUUGGUCAAUGGGCGGAAGCCUGAACCAGCCAUGCCGCGUGCGGGAAGAAGGCCCUACGGGUUGUAAACCGCUUUUCCGGGGGAAGAAUAAUCCCGCUGCGGCGGGAGAUGCCGGUACCCCGGGAAUAAGGAUCGGCUAACUCCGUGCCAGCAGCCGCGGUAAUACGGAGGAUCCGAGCGUUAUCCGGAUUUACUGGGUUUAAAGGGUGCGUAGGCGGCCCUGCCAAUC